UCAUAGACGCCAGAGAAUCACCCAAAACGGCCAUCAAGCGAAGAAAAAGUCAUCGGAUAACACCAAAACUCUAGGUCCGAAAGUCGGAAAACCCUAUAAUUUGAAGAACUCGUCGGAAGAAAGUCAGAGAUGUUGGAAAAUCACCCAAAACACCUACUGAUACAGGAUCGGAGCCUCAAACAGACAUAAAAGUCCCGAUUAACCGAUUAACAUUCAUCGAAAAAAAAUAAUUUUUCUCAGAUAACCGGAAAAAAAAAACUACAGCGAAAGCUUCAUCAAGUAUCGAUAACACAUAACAGAGAAGGAUCGGAAGAUUUUCCCGCUCUGAUACCAUGAAAACAUGAAGAUUUGAUCAUCAAGUAUCGAUAACACAUAACAGAGAAGGAUCGGAAGAUUUUUUCGCUCUCAUACCAUGAAAACAUGAAGAUUUGAAGAUGAAACUAGAGAAGAUGAAGAUGAACAGUGUGAGACACAGAAAGAGAGAAACGGAAGCUUCUGGAGAAAGCCAGAAGACCAAA
Molecule: long non-coding RNA, 518 nt
Filed under: Nicotiana benthamiana
Lineage: Eukaryota; Viridiplantae; Streptophyta; Magnoliopsida; Solanales; Solanaceae
Description: long non-coding RNA (NBEN_LNC013026)
Source: RNAcentral